GGGAAGUGAGGUGGGAGGGCUAUUGGUUUAUUCUUUGUCUACUGGAUUAACCCGAUUAUACACCAGGCACCAGCACAAACCGCCUCCCCCACCUCCGAGCCUUGUACGGGAGGAACGGAAUGCAGAUUCGAGUUUCAAGUACCUUCUGCUCUUGCUGGGAUUUGCUUUUGAUUGUGUCGACUUGUAGUUUUUCCGUUUAUUAGAAUUUCAUUUUUAAGGGGGGUUAUCUAUGAAUGGAGGCUUUUUGAAGAGCUUCCUUACUAUUUUGCUUCAUGCAGUAGCUAAAGUCUACAGUCUAAGCCUUUUAACUUAAUUCAUUAAUAGACAGGAACAAGAUUACUCAGGGCGACAGCAUGGGCUUCCGAAAUGGGGGGGCGGGGGGGAGGGAAGGGUUGGCUCACUGCAGAUUUCCUUCUUCCCUUAACUAAAAGUCAUCCUUCAUUUCCCACUUUUCUUGCCACCUAGAACAUUUCUCAAGAUUCUGUUGUCCAUGUUGAAGGUGCACUAUUCUUUCCCAUUUACAAAAAAAAAAUAAAGAUAGAAAAUGCAUACAUAUGCACUGUCCUAGCUGCCGUUCAUUUACUAAGAAAUGUGCCUUCACGUGGGAGCACCAGUGGAAAAUUAA
RNAcentral lists this long non-coding RNA (625 nucleotides) under Homo sapiens (human). The record is from RNAcentral. Lineage: Eukaryota; Metazoa; Chordata; Mammalia; Primates; Hominidae.